GAUGAACGCUGGCGGCGUGCCUAAUACAUGCCAGUCGAGCGAACGGACGAGAAGCUUGCUUUUCUGAUGUUAGCGGCUGACGGGUGAGUAACACGUGGAUAACCUACCUAUAAGACUGGGAUAACUUCGGGAAACCGGAGCUAAUACCGGAUAAUAUUUUGAACCGCAUGGUUCAAAAGUGAAAGACGGUCUUGCUGUCACUUAUAGAUGGAUCCGCGCUGCAUUAGCUAGUUGGUAAGGUAACGGCUUACCAAGGCAACGAUGCAUAGCCGACCUGAGAGGGUGAUCGGCCACACUGGAACUGAGACACGGUCCAGACUCCUACGGGAGGCAGCAGUAGGGAAUCUUCCGCAAUGGGCGAAAGCCUGACGGAGCAACGCCGCGUGAGUGAUGAAGGUCUUCGGAUCGUAAAACUCUGUUAUUAGGGAAGAACAUAUGUGUAAGUAACUGUGCACAUCUUGACGGUACCUAAUCAGAAAGCCACGGCUAACUACGUG
This 497-nucleotide ribosomal RNA is filed under the name uncultured bacterium. Its description in RNAcentral is "partial 16S ribosomal RNA". It matches the Rfam family "Bacterial small subunit ribosomal RNA", at positions 28 to 507 of the family's 1533-position model. The record is from RNAcentral.